UACAGAGGUCUCAACCGUUGUUCGGAUUCAUUGGGCGUAAAGGGUGGCGUAGGCGGUCGUGCAAGUCGGAUGUGAAAUCUCAGGGCUCAACCCUGAAACUGCAUUCGAUACUGCGCGGCUAGAGUGCUGGAGGGGAGACUGGAAUUGACGGUGUAGUCAGUGAAAUGCGUAGAUAUCGUAAGGAAGACCAGUGGCGAAGGCGGGUCUCUGGACAGUUCCUGACGCUGAGGCACGAAGGCCAGGGAGCAAACGGG
Molecule: ribosomal RNA, 254 nt
Filed under: uncultured bacterium
Lineage: Bacteria
Description: partial 16S ribosomal RNA
Rfam family: Bacterial small subunit ribosomal RNA
Source: RNAcentral